ACGAUGGUGAUACCAAUGGCUCCAAGUUUGACUCGGUGAGAAACGAAGCAAGGUUCAUGAAUUUAGAAGAGGCUUGCGAGACAGGGAGUGAUAUCGAUGGCCAUGCACAACAAGGUACAAGGAUAUGAAGAUACGGCACCGUUUCAACAACCUGCUGUCCACAAAUCCCUUCUGCUCUCCAGUCUCCACGAUGACCUUUACUUAAUAACCUCU
This 213-nucleotide long non-coding RNA is filed under the name Brassica napus (rape). Its description in RNAcentral is "long non-coding RNA (BNAP_LNC015105)". Lineage: Eukaryota; Viridiplantae; Streptophyta; Magnoliopsida; Brassicales; Brassicaceae. The record is from RNAcentral.